UGUGCCAGCCGCCGCGGUAAUACGUAGGGGGCGAGCGUUGUCCGGAAUUACUGGGCGUAAAGGGUGCGUAGGCGGCCCUUUAAGUCGGAUGUGAAAGCCCGCGGCUUAACCGCGGAAUGGCAUUCGAAACUGGAGGGCUUGAGUGUCGGAGAGGGUAGUGGAAUUCCCAGUGUAGCGGUGAAAUGCGUAGAUAUUGGGAGGAACACCAGUGGCGAAGGCGACUACCUGGACGAUAACUGACGCUGAGGCACGAAAGCUAGGGGAGCAAACAGGAUUAGAUACCCUGGUAGUCCUAGCCGUAAACGAUGGGUACUAGGUGUGGGUGGUUUCGAUACCAUCCGUGCCGUAGUUAACGCAUUAAGUACCCCGCCUGGGGAGUACGGCCGCAAGGUUGAAACUCAAAGGAAUUGACGGGGACCCGCACAAGCAGCGGAGCAUGUGGUUUAAUUCGAAGCAACGCGAAAAACCUUACCAAGACUUGACAUCGCAUGAUCGCCAUAGAAAUAUGGUUUCUCUUCGGAGCAUGCAGACAGAUGGUGCAUGGUUGUCGUCAGCUCGUGUCGCGAGAUGUUGGGUUAAGUCCCAAAACGAGCGCAACCCUUGUUGUUAGUUGCCAAUAUUAAGUUAGGAACUCUAGCGAGACUGCCGCGGUAACGUGGAGGAAGGAAGGGACGACGUCAAAUCAUCAUGCCUCUUACGUCUUGGGCUACACACGUGCUACAAUGGCCAUAACAAAGAGCAGCAAUAUAGCGAUAUUGAGCAAAUCUCAUAAAAAUGGUCUCAGUUCGGAUUGUAGGCUGCAACUCGCCUACAUGAAGUCGGAGUUGCUAGUAAUCCCGAAUCAGAACGUCGGGGUGAAUGCGUUCCCGGGUCUUGUACACACCGCCCGUCACGCCAUGGGAGUUGGUAGUACCCAAAGUCGGUGAGCUAACCGCAAGGAGGCAGCCGCCUAAGGUAAGAUCAAUGACUGGGGUGAAGUCGUAACAAGGUAACCA
RNAcentral lists this ribosomal RNA (995 nucleotides) under uncultured bacterium. RNAcentral describes it as "bacterial SSU rRNA". It matches the Rfam family "Bacterial small subunit ribosomal RNA", at positions 504 to 1502 of the family's 1533-position model. The record is from RNAcentral.